This 74-nucleotide transfer RNA is filed under the name Treponema sp. RNAcentral's name for it is "tRNA-Arg". It matches the Rfam family "tRNA". Rfam says of the family: Transfer RNA (tRNA) molecules are approximately 80 nucleotides in length. Their secondary structure includes four short double-helical elements and three loops (D, anti-codon, and T loops). Further hydrogen bonds mediate the characteristic L-shaped molecular structure. tRNAs have two regions of fundamental functional importance: the anti-codon, which is responsible for specific mRNA codon recognition, and the 3' end, to which the tRNAs corresponding amino acid is attached (by aminoacyl-tRNA synthetases). tRNAs cope with the degeneracy of the genetic code in two manners: having more than one tRNA (with a specific anti-codon) for a particular amino acid; and 'wobble' base-pairing, i.e. permitting non-standard base-pairing at the 3rd anti-codon position. Lineage: Bacteria; Pseudomonadati; Spirochaetota; Spirochaetia; Treponematales; Treponemataceae. The record is from RNAcentral.
GAGCCAUUAGCUCACUUGGAUAGAGCGGUUGCCUCCUAAGCAACAGGUAGUGUGUUCGAAUCACAUAUGGCUCA